CGCUCGAGCGUGGCGUCGUUCGCGAGCCGAGGAACACAGCCUGUCCUUGUCGGAUGACGAGGGGGUCCGAGCGCAGCGGAGCGCCCCAAGUGGGAGUCGCACGCGGAGGUCGACACGGUGCCCUACCUGCGACGAAAAAGAUGAACGUGGGAAUUUCGAUUUCAUUGCAAUUUGGAUAUUUUAGAGCGUACACUAAGCAGGAAACUCCACCAUGCCCCGCAUCGAUCAUCCUGCGACCAGUCGAAUACGACGUAUGAUAAUUGUCGCAGACGGAUCGGAACUUAUGCACCCCAAUACCAAACGCAAUCCGCUUCCCUGCAUCGAUAUGCCGCUAAUUGUGACCAUUUCGCAUCGUGCACCGCUAGCAUCACGCUCUACACGAGUUUAAGGUUCAGCAGCUGCGUUGCGUCGUUACGUCGUUACGUCUAAAUGCUGGGUCGAAUCCUGCUAUACCGUCUGAACAAUAAUACCGAUAACCGCGGAGAUACGUCCUUUGUACUUGUUGUUAAUAGAACAACAAGAUACUGCGGUAACCAAAGCUAUUUAAACCAUUUAAUUGAACCACGUGUAUAGAUUAGUAGAUAUCCACCGCUCAGCACCUUGUUGGAAUAGUUAAUUUCUGCUUCAGCUGCAGUGCGGUCACGGAAAAUAUACGGAUGAUUACCUAUUGGUAGUACGAUAGAACAGAGAGACUACGGAAACACAACGGGCUUUCUUAGGGGAUGUUUCAGUUAAUUGAAACGAUCGAUUGAAUUCCAGAAUUUACGGAUACUCGAUCACUGAAAAAUUCAAUUUACUUCUUUUCAAUCGUGAAUUUCUUUCAAAUUCUACAAUUUUUUAAGACUUGGACCUAACUAAUUCGUUCUCGGUUUAUAAAUUGCACGAAUAUCGCAUGAAAUUUAUUAACUUCGGAUGAGCCGCGACACUUCUCAACAAUCGUGGUAACAAAAUUCGAUGAAUUUUGAUUGGAAACCAUUUACUUCAAAUAUAAUCAUUCAUUCUGCACAUAACAUAUGUAAGGUAUACAAUAUAAUUUAAUUUAAUACAAUAUAACCGUACAGAUUUUGCAUGAAUGAUUGUAUGUAUAAUUUGUAAAUUCAUUCUCGCUAUUUUAGGAGG
Neodiprion fabricii is the source of this 1119-nucleotide long non-coding RNA. RefSeq lists it as uncharacterized. NCBI's taxonomy places the organism in Eukaryota, Metazoa, Arthropoda, Insecta, Hymenoptera, Diprionidae. The record is from RefSeq and is a predicted model, not a curated record. The transcript is spliced from 3 exons.